AUAAACUAGGAAAGCAGUGGAACAGCUAUGCAAGAAGCCUACUUUCUCUUCAUGUAACACGUUGGCCUAAGAGAUCUAUAGAGCUUUUUAAAAACAGAGAAGGCAGCAAGAUUUAAAAUAAUAAAACCAGCAAUAGGUAUUUUUUAAAGUGAGAGAAACUAUCAGAGAGCUGAAGCAGAAAAGCAAGUUAAAAAUAAAGGAAACAGAAAAGGAACUGAUAUAGCUGAUUUGAUACUAGAAAGAUCACCCAGGAGGCAGCACGGAGAAUGGAUUGGAGAAGGGUGAACAUUGAGUCAGAGGCUUUGUGAGCUUACUGUAAAUUUGAGGGAGCAAAUUGGAGGAGAAAUGACAAAAGAAACAGAAAAAAUGUUAAAUCAGACAAAGGAACUAAAAAACGUCAGUCUUAAUUAGAAGAUGGUCAAACAAAUCUCUUAACUGAUGUUCACAAUGAUGGUUUCAAAUCAUCUAAGGAACAGGUGAGUACCAGGGAACUUGUGUAAUUUCAAUCAAAUUUAAUUUUUACAAUAAUCCCAAGAAAUAUAUCAUUAUCCCUAUAUUACAGACUAAAACAAAAUAAACAAAAACAAAUAAAACCUUUGAGACUCAGAACUAUUUUAGCAGCUUUCCCAAAAGCUGCUAAAACGUAAAACUAGAAUCCUGACCCAUCAAUGCCAAACCCUAU
RNAcentral lists this non-coding RNA (682 nucleotides) under Pongo abelii (Sumatran orangutan). The record is from RNAcentral. Lineage: Eukaryota; Metazoa; Chordata; Mammalia; Primates; Hominidae.